This 492-nucleotide ribosomal RNA is filed under the name uncultured bacterium. RNAcentral describes it as "partial 16S ribosomal RNA". It matches the Rfam family "Bacterial small subunit ribosomal RNA", at positions 29 to 507 of the family's 1533-position model. The record is from RNAcentral.
AGUGAACGCUGGCGGUAGGCCUAACACAUGCAAGUCGAACGGCAGCACAGUAAGAGCUUGCUCUUACGGGUGGCGAGUGGCGGACGGGUGAGGAAUACAUCGGAAUCUACUUUUUCGUGGGGGAUAACGUAGGGAAACUUACGCUAAUACCGCAUACGACCUACGGGUGAAAGCAGGGGAUCUUCGGACCUUGCGCGAUUGAAUGAGCCGAUGUCGGAUUAGCUAGUUGGCGGGGUAAAGGCCCACCAAGGCGACGAUCCGUAGCUGGUCUGAGAGGAUGAUCAGCCACACUGGAACUGAGACACGGUCCAGACUCCUACGGGAGGCAGCAGUGGGGAAUAUUGGACAAAGGGCGCAAGCCUGAUCCAGCCAUACCGCGUGGGUGAAGAAGGCCUUCGGGUUGUAAAGCCCUUUUGUUGGGAAAGAAAAGUAGCAGGUUAAUACCCCGCUGUUCUGACGGUACCCAAAGAAUAAGCACCGGCUAACUUCGUG